This 270-nucleotide long non-coding RNA is filed under the name Ananas comosus (pineapple). RNAcentral describes it as "long non-coding RNA (ACOM_LNC038360)". The record is from RNAcentral. Lineage: Eukaryota; Viridiplantae; Streptophyta; Magnoliopsida; Poales; Bromeliaceae.
UUUUUCAGAAUCUAUACGCACAUAUUCUUUCUCAUAAGUUUUUGUCACGUAGCAGCGUCAUAGUCUCCCCUUCUCAAAAUUUCUACUCUUUAAUUAUUACGACCGCUCGCGUUUCUCAUAACAUAUGUCUCUUUGGCUUUUCGUUUCAUUAAUUUCUUUCCCGUAACGUAUAUCUUUUUGGCUUUUCGCCUCAUUAAUUCAUUCUCUGUAACAUCGCUGCUUCGACUUUCCGUCUCAUUAGUUUUUAUUUUCUAAGAGUCGUUGGUCGAG